This 223-nucleotide long non-coding RNA is filed under the name Elaeis guineensis (African oil palm). RNAcentral describes it as "long non-coding RNA (EGUI_LNC002636)". Lineage: Eukaryota; Viridiplantae; Streptophyta; Magnoliopsida; Arecales; Arecaceae. The record is from RNAcentral.
UGCCCAAAUUAUUGUUUGCAAUUAGUCAACGUUACCAGCUACAUAUCUAGGAUUAACACUCAUUCACCAUAAAUCUACAGUAAGCUGCUGGAGAUUUCUUGAGAAAAAAAUUGAGAGGAAGCUAGUAGCUUAAAAAGAUAAGAUUCUCUCUCUAGGAGGAUGACUAACCUUUGUUAGUUAUGUUCUCAGCUCUAUACCAACCUAUUGGAUGUCUUCGUUGCUG